Molecule: long non-coding RNA, 687 nt
Organism: Engraulis encrasicolus (European anchovy)
Lineage: Eukaryota; Metazoa; Chordata; Actinopteri; Clupeiformes; Engraulidae
Exons: 5
Source: RefSeq, a predicted model, not a curated record
UCCCUCAUUCCCUCGAACUCGAUCUUCUACAUUUGUUGUGUAAAAAGGACAUAGCAAGUUUUUUGUAUCAAUGAUCACUUUAGGAUAUUCCAGUGCAUUUACAUUCAAUAUAUACUGUACCUUGAGUGAGGUAGAAAUGCAUAUUGUUGCAAAUAUAAAUACUGUUAAUUUGUUAUUUUUUGUAAUUAAUCAUUUACUGAAUUUCUUUGUAGAAUAUGUUACUAUUAUUUGGGUUUUUGUUCUCUGCAUAACUGUCUCUUUCACCUAUAUUAAUUCCUCAGCAUUCAAGAUGUUUGUAGGGUCCUCACCUCAGCUACCUCUCACAAGGUGCCCCUGAAAAAGAAAUUCAAGACGUUUGGGUCCUCAGCUCAACUGACCAAGACCUUUGCUCAUUGAAGGCAUGAAGUAAUUUGUGAUGCCCCCACGAUUGCAGUUUUUAAAUCCAGAUGGCUUGCUCUUUUUAACAUGUGCGAGAGCUGGAUGGUCUUUCAACAACACUGCUCCGGGUCUUCAGCAAGAAAGGUGCUUCUCAUGCAAGGAAGAUACAGAGGAUCCUGGUGCCCAUGACUCAGACUGACAACAUUGAUGUGAAGAGGGAGUGCAUGCUGAGGAGCUGACGGUCUACCUGAAUGAAGAGCCAGACAAAGUGGAUGUUGAUCUGGACGGUCCAGCUGAAACGUAUUGUCU